AAAGAACUGCACGACUGGCGGAAAGCAGGGAUAUCCUGUGGUAGGGAAACCUACAGGGAGUGCAGAUCAUCAAGAAAGCCGACCGCCUGGGCGCAUGCA
This 99-nucleotide non-coding RNA is filed under the name Lachnoclostridium sp. An196. RNAcentral's name for it is "ZMP/ZTP riboswitch aptamer (pfl RNA motif)". It matches the Rfam family "ZMP/ZTP riboswitch aptamer (pfl RNA motif)". From Rfam's summary of the family: Previously known as pfl RNA. ZMP is also known as AICAR. Lineage: Bacteria; Bacillati; Bacillota; Clostridia; Lachnospirales; Lachnospiraceae. RNAcentral also lists the same sequence under 1 other name. The record is from Rfam by way of RNAcentral.